Molecule: long non-coding RNA, 910 nt
Organism: Homo sapiens (human)
Lineage: Eukaryota; Metazoa; Chordata; Mammalia; Primates; Hominidae
Gene: DOCK8-AS2
Product: DOCK8 antisense RNA 2
Source: Ensembl
GCCGCCCGGUGGCUUUGCUUCAGGCGGAAGUCCGCGUGCUUUGAUACCCUCAGGGGGCACUUACAGGCUAGGUGGACACAGACACUAGUCCCACUUCUUUGGUUAUCUGUAUUCUGAGUCCACAAAUCAGAGGCAUCCAGUUGAAAAAGCUGAAAGCUUCUAGAAUGGCACUAUCCAAUAUGGUAGCCAGUGGCCCCCUGUGGCUACUGUGCACUUAAAAUGUGGCCAGUCCUAACUGCAACGUGCUGAAAAGACAGAAGCUGAUUGAGGUCCCAGCUUGGUAACAGUUUGAAGAGUUGCAGGACUGGCUGGAUGAGUACUGGCUGCAGCAAAUCAGGCUGCCAGGAUUCUUUAUGGCUGUUUCUGCUUCCACUACAGCUGAGUCAGAAAGGUCGCUGCCCCGUGGUGGCACUAGACGCAGUGGACCUGGCAAGCAAAUGUUUCCGCUAUUAGCUCUCAGCAACAGAGACUCAUUUAUGGUCACCUUGGAAAUCUGGGCUUAUCGAUCUACAGCCCAAGUCUGCUGAGAAGCUGGAGCUUACUAAAGGGGAAACCUGAGAGCUGUUCAAGCCCCAAAUAUUUUCCACUUCUGCGUCACCUCUGCUGUCUGUUAGCAGAGUGGAGGAGAAAAUACACAGCACAAACAACGUGAAAAAAUAGUUACUCUAUUCAUUAAAAGCUGUAACUUCCAGAUUGGACUUGAGAAGCAAUUAAGCAACAGAGGAACCUCAUCUACUAUCUGUAUUCAGGCAUGCUCAUGAGAACACGCUGCUCCAGCUGGACUUAGAGGAACCCGGUGCAUCACAGGCAUUCCUGACAGAGUCUCGUGGUCCUGCUGGUCCACUCAGUGGUACUCAGUCCUCCUCAUUCUCGGGGAUAGGUUCCAAGACCCCCAGGGGAUGCCUGAAAC